GACGAACGCUGGCGGCGUGCCAAAUACAUGCAAGUAGAACGCUGAAGAGAGGAGCUUGCUCUUCUUGGAUGAGUUGCGAACGGGUGAGUAACGCGUAGGUAACCUGCCUUGUAGCGGGGGAUAACUAUUGGAAACGAUAGCUAAUACCGCAUAACAAUGGAUGACACAUGUCAUUUAUUUGAAAGGGGCAAUUGCUCCACUACAAGAUGGACCUGCGUUGUAUUAGCUAGUAGGUGAGGUAAUGGCUCACCUAGGCGACGAUACAUAGCCGACCUGAGAGGGUGAUCGGCCACACUGGGACUGAGACACGGCCCAGACUCCUACGGGAGGCAGCAGUAGGGAAUCUUCGGCAAUGGGGGCAACCCUGACCGAGCAACGCCGCGUGAGUGAAGAAGGUUUUCGGAUCGUAAAGCUCUGUUGUAAGUCAAGAACGGGUGUGAGAGUGGAAAGUUCACACUGUGACGGUAGCUUACCAGAAAGGGACGGCUAACUACGUG
This 497-nucleotide ribosomal RNA is filed under the name uncultured bacterium. Its description in RNAcentral is "partial 16S ribosomal RNA". It matches the Rfam family "Bacterial small subunit ribosomal RNA", at positions 28 to 507 of the family's 1533-position model. The record is from RNAcentral.